GUGGGGAAUAUUGGACAAUGGGCGAAAGCCUGAUCCAGCCAUGCCGCGUGUGUGAAGAAGGUCUUCGGAUUGUAAAGCACUUUAAGUUGGGAGGAAGGGCAGUAAGUUAAUACCUUGCUGUUUUGACGUUACCGACAGAAUAAGCACCGGCUAACUUCGUGCCAGCAGCCGCGGUAAUACGAAGGGUGCAAGCGUUAAUCGGAAUUACUGGGCGUAAAGCGCGCGUAGGUGGUUUUGUAAGUUGGAGGUGAAAUCCCCGGGCUCAACCUGGGAACUGCCUCCAAAACUGCAUGACUAGAGUACGGUAGAGGGUAGUGGAAUAUCCUGUGUAGCGGUGAAAUGCGUAGAUAUAGGAAGGAACACCAGUGGCGAAGGCGACUACCUGGACUGAUACUGACACUGAGGUGCGAAAGCGUGGGGAGCAAACAGGAUUAGAUACCCCGGUAGUCC
Molecule: ribosomal RNA, 450 nt
Filed under: uncultured bacterium
Lineage: Bacteria
Description: partial 16S ribosomal RNA
Rfam family: Bacterial small subunit ribosomal RNA
Source: RNAcentral